This 497-nucleotide ribosomal RNA is filed under the name uncultured bacterium. RNAcentral describes it as "partial 16S ribosomal RNA". It matches the Rfam family "Bacterial small subunit ribosomal RNA", at positions 28 to 507 of the family's 1533-position model. The record is from RNAcentral.
GAUGAACGCUGGCGGCGUGCCUAAUACAUGCAAGUCGAGCGAACGGACGAGAAGCUUGCUUCUCUGAUGUUAUCGGCGGACGGGUGAGUAACACGUGGAUAACCUACCUAUAAGACUGGGAUAACUUCGGGAAACCGGAGCUAAUACCGGAUAAUAUUUUGAACCGCAUGGUUCAAAAGUGAAAGAUGGUCUUGCUGUCACUUAUAGAUGGAUCCGCGCUGCAUUAGCUAGUUGGUAAGGUAACGGCUUACCAAGGCAACGAUGCAUAGCCGACCUGAGAGGGUGAUCGGCCACACUGGAACUGAGACACGGUCCAGACUCCUACGGGAGGCAGCAGUAGGGAAUCUUCCGCAAUGGGCGAAAGCCUGACGGAGCAACGCCGCGUGAGUGAUGAAGGUCUUCGGAUCGUAAAACUCUGUUAUUAGGGAAGAACAUAUGUGUAAGUAACUGUGCACAUCUUGACGGUACCUAAUCAGAAAGCCACGGCUAACUACGUG